Molecule: long non-coding RNA, 977 nt
Organism: Dreissena polymorpha
Lineage: Eukaryota; Metazoa; Mollusca; Bivalvia; Myida; Dreissenidae
Exons: 3
Source: RefSeq, a predicted model, not a curated record
UAUUGCUUUGCUCAUGUCGGUCGGUCUGUCCGUCCACCAGGUGGUUGUCAGACGAUAACUCAAGAACGCUUGGGCCUAGGAUCAUGAAACUUCAUAGGUACAUUGAUCAUGACUUGCAGAUGACCCCUAUUGAUUUUGAGGUCACUAGGUCAAAGGUCAAGGUCACGGUGACCCGAAAUAGUAAAAUGGUUUCCGGAGGAUAACUCAAGAACGCAUACGCCUAGGAUCAUGAAACUUCAUGGGUAGAUUGAUCAUGACUCGCAGAUGACCCCUAUUGAUUUUGAGGUCACUAGGUCAAAAAUCAAGGUCACGGUGACCCGAAAUAGUAAAAUGGUUUUCGGAUGAUAACUCAAGAACGCAUACGCCUAGGAUCAUGAAACUUCAUAGGUAGAUUGAUCAUGACUUGCAGAUGACCCCUAUUGAUUUUGAGGUCAUAAGGUCAAAGGUCAAGGUCACGGUGACCCGAAAUAGUAAAAUGGUUUCCGGAUGAUAACUCAAGAACGCAUACGCCUAGGAUCAUGAAACUUCAUGGGUAGAUUGAUCAUGACUCGCAGAUGACCCCUAUUGAUUUUGAGGUCACUAGGUCAAAGGUCAAGGUCACGGUGACCCGAAAUAGUAAAAUGGUUUCCGGAUGAUAACUCAAGAAUGCAUAGGCCUAGGAUCAUACAACUUCAUGGGUAGAUUGAUCAUGACUCGCAGAUGACCCCUAUUGAUUUUCAGGUCACUAGGUCAAAGGUCAAGGUCACGGUGACCCGAAAUAGAAAAAUGAUUUUCGUAUGAUAACUCAAGAACGCAUAUGUCUAGGAUCAUGAAACUUCAUAGGUAGAUUGAUCAUGACUCGCAGAUGACCCCUAUUGAUUUUGAGGUCACAAGGUCAAAGGUCAAGGUCACGGUGACCCGAAAUAGUAAAAUGAUUUUCGGAUGAUAACUCGAGAACGCUUUUGCCUAGGAUCAUGACACUUCAUAGGUACAUUGAU